RNAcentral lists this ribosomal RNA (498 nucleotides) under uncultured bacterium. RNAcentral describes it as "partial 16S ribosomal RNA". It matches the Rfam family "Bacterial small subunit ribosomal RNA", at positions 30 to 523 of the family's 1533-position model. The record is from RNAcentral.
AUUGAACGCUGGCGGCAUGCCUUACACAUGCAAGUCGAACGGUAACAGGUCUUCGGAUGCUGACGAGUGGCGAACGGGUGAGUAAUACAUCGGAACGUGCCUAGUAGUGGGGGAUAACUACUCGAAAGAGUGGCUAAUACCGCAUGAGAUCUACGGAUGAAAGCAGGGGAUCGCAAGACCUUGUGCUACUAGAGCGGCCGAUGGCCGAUGAGGUAGUUGGUGGGAUAAAAGCUUACCAAGCCGACGAUCUGUAGCUGGUCGGAGAGGACGAUCAGCCACACGAGGACUGAGACACUGCCCAGACUCCUACGGGAGGCAGCAGUGUGGAAUUUUGGACAAUGGGCACAAGCCUGAUCCAGCAAUGCCGCGUGCAUGAUGAAGGCCUUCGGGUUGUAAACUGCUUUUGUACGGAACGAAAAGCCCCGGGUUAAUACCCUGGGGUCAUGACGGUACCGUAAGAAUAAGCACCGGCUAACUACGUGCCAGCCGCCGCCGUAA